GAUGAACGCUGGCGGCGUGCCUAAUACAUGCAAGUCGAGCGAACGGACGAGAAGCUUGCUUCUCUGAUGUUAGCGGCGGACGGGUGAGUAACACGUGGAUAACCUACCUUUAAGACUGGGAUAACUUCGGGAAACCGGAGCUAAUACCGGAUAAUAUUUUGAACCGCAUGGUUCAAAAGUGAAAGACGGUCUUGCUGUCACUUAUAGAUGGAUCCGCGCUGCAUUAGCUAGUUGGUAAGGUAACGGCUUACCAAGGCAACGAUGCAUAGCCGACCUGAGAGGGUGAUCGGCCACACUGGAACUGAGACACGGUCCAGACUCCUACGGGAGGCAGCAGUAGGGAAUCUUCCGCAAUGGGCGAAAGCCUGACGGAGCAACGCCGCGUGAGUGAUGAAGGUCUUAGGAUCGUAAAACUCUGUUAUUAGGGAAGAACAUAUGUGUAAGUAACUGUGCACAUCUUGACGGUACCUAAUCAGAAAGCCACGGCUAACUACGUG
Molecule: ribosomal RNA, 497 nt
Filed under: uncultured bacterium
Lineage: Bacteria
Description: partial 16S ribosomal RNA
Rfam family: Bacterial small subunit ribosomal RNA
Source: RNAcentral